Molecule: non-coding RNA, 3916 nt
Organism: Cyanistes caeruleus (blue tit)
Lineage: Eukaryota; Metazoa; Chordata; Aves; Passeriformes; Paridae
Source: RefSeq, a predicted model, not a curated record
GGGCGGCUUUCUCGGAACCGGCGGCGACGGCGGCGAUCCGAGUCGCGCUCCCCCAAGAGCGGGGCCGAUGGUGCGGCCCUGUCCGCGCCUGCGCGACCGGGGGAGCUGCCCGGAGCCGGCGCCGUCCGGGACCUGUCCGUGAGGGCGGUAACGGAAGAGGUCCGACAUCGAAAUUUACCCCGGGGCGCGCCCGGAGUACCUCGCCCGGAGCAGCCGUUAAAGACAGCCUUGCCAAAGCUCCGCGAUGCCUCUCUCCCGUCUCCGCUACCAGAAAGAACAAGCGCACCUCAUUUAAAAAAAAAAAAAAACAAAAAACUGAAAACCAGAACACCAAAACCCAAACUCUGGCGUGUUCAGCAUGGAGAAGAACGAGGGGAGACCUCAUCGCAUCCUACAACUUCCUCGUGAGGGGCAGGGCAGUGGAGGGGUAGCUCCGAUAUCUGCUCUCUGCGACCAGUGACAGGACCCGAGGGAACGGCUGGAGGUGUGUCAGGGGAGAUUUAGGCAAAUACAUCAGGAAAAGAUGCUUCCCCCGGAGGAUGGUUGGACACUAAACAGGCUCCCAGGGCAGUGGUCACGGUACCAAGGCUGCUAGAGCUCAAGGAGUGUUUAGACAGGGCUCUCAGGGACAGGGUGGGAUUGUUGGGAUGUGCUGUGCAGGAUUUGGAUUGGAUGAUACUAUGGCUCCCCUUCCACUCAGAAGAUUCUGUGAUUUCUGGAAAAAAACAACAGCAAAAACUAACUAAAUAAAACAAGCAAAAAACCCCAAAAAACCCCAACCAAACAAAAAAUAACCAAAAAACCCUUCAAUAACUUAAGGCUAAAAACAAACCAAUCACAGUCCCCAAAGACUUUUCUAACAAGGCCUGAGUAGUGGAGCUGUGUUUCCAGGGAAGAUGAGGGGUCUCCACCCCUGGAGAGAACUUUGCUGUGAAUCAUCUGAAGUGUACCCAGGGCUCUUCCAGUUGUGCAGGAGGAGACUCCACGUGUACUUGAAGAUCCCUUUAUCACAAAACUGGACAGAAGAGGAUGGAAACAUUAGAGAUGCAGUCAUUUGUUAUCAGCAGCGCCUUGGCAGUGCUGGUGUUGAAUGUUCUCUGUAAGCUGGAAAAGGACAAAAACCCUCUUGCCAACAGAGGCAUGUGAGCAAUACUGGCUGAGACAUCUUGGCACUUGAACAGCAUCAGUCUGCACUGGGUAGGAAGAAUUGAUCCAACAUGCCUCUGCAGAUCUUAUGCAGGAAUCUCCACUGAACCCAGCGCUUCAUUCCAGAUAUGGCUAAGGGAAGAAAGCGUCAUGCAAAGUGCAAGGCUGACACCUGGAGGGGCUGCAGGAGGCAGACAGAGAGCCUGGAGCAGCCACAUAUCCUGCAGCACAGCUGAGAGGGGAAAGCUCUGAGGGGGUGGCAGAUCCCAGGAUCUGAAAGUGUGUUUUCUGUCACCCCAUUUCCAACAAUAAAGAAAAAUACAGAUUUCUAUUUCAGAUUUUCCAUGCCUAUUUUUAGGACUAGAGAAGAAACACAGGAGCUGUGACUGUGUCACUUAAUUAUUCACUUCUUCCACACUCAGAAAUACACUUGGAUCAAAACUUAUCAUGGUCAGUAAGCUGCUACAAAUAAUACAGGGUUAUUUUUUUAGUUGUUUGGUCUAAUAUAUUUGAAUUGUCAUAUAUCAGACUUCCCACUGAUUUGCCAUUUGUUUAACUCUGUGUUGAGUUUCUGAAACACAGAGUUGCAGAGCAAGUCCUUCUGUCAAAGUUGCAGCUGGAAGAUUUGGCAUUAGGUGAAGUUUGUUCUUUUCACUGUCUGGUUCUGCCAGCAUCCAUGGUAAGGCUCUUCCUGAAGCUGAUCCUAAUCAAGGAAAGCAAGGUAGUUUGUGGGACAAAGUCUUCAUGCUUUUCAAAGCUGGCUUUCCAGCCUGGCAGACAUGCUUUCAUACAUAGCACUUGUUCAUAUCUUUUGAGUAAUCUCUCCUUGCUGCCAGGAAAUGUCUCAGUAUUAGCGAAUGCUUGUUUUGCUUGAUCUAAUUGUAGAAUAUGUUAAUAACUCAGUUAUUUACUGUUUUGGCAUUACCAUACAUUUAGUAGCUCACAGACCCAAAGAUUAGAUGUCCAUUACAUACCCUUUAUUCUCUUUGUCGUUUCCAGUGUGGUUCCAAUCAUAAUAUUUGCUUAUCAGUGAGUAGUUGCUUAUGGAAAUGGGAAAAAUAAACCAACAAAAAACAACAACCAACAGUUAUUUUCAGAACUCUUUUAUGCAGUUCUAUUGUCCCACCUGCAGUAUAGCUCCCCAAGUCUCUAUGCCUCUUCUCUGGUAUACCUUGAUACUGACUGAUGGCAUUUCUUUCCCUUCUAGCCUUCUGACUCCCAAAAUAUCAAUGAUGCUCAGUUCAUCCCAAUGAGCAUACUAAACCACUACAGACAUUCUCCACCCAGACUAGCCUAAAGGAUAUUGUCUGGACUCUCAUUCCUGCAAAACAGCUUGGCACCAGUAUGGGGAAAUGUCCCCAUUAAUACCUUCAAACCUGAGUGUGUUCCCAAAGAAAUCAGCAAAGUGACUCCCUCUGAAUCUUUGCAUUUCUCCAGAAAUAAAGUGUUCGACUUAAGGAUAACUUGCUGCCUUCCAGAGAAUUCAUCAUUUCCAGCUUGAAAAGAGAAAUCCAGGAAGCAUCAAUAAAUCUAUUUUGACAGUGGAGUAAAGAGCUGCAAAAUGGGUAACCUGUCAAGGUAACGUGACUUAAUUUCUUAGAGAAAGAUCCUUUUUUUAUAAAUGAAAUAAAAAUGCCAGCAAAGUGAAAUAGCAGGAAAUGUCACACUUGAUUGUCUCUCAGUAGGACAGAAAUUAAAUAAAAAGAAGGCAAGGUAAACGAGAGGGUUUUACAUUUAACGAGGGAAGUAAUAAAAUAAACUGAGAAUAAUAACAUCCACUGAAAAUCUAUGCACAGCAACCUGAGUAUGUCAAAGGGGUGUGUUCCCACAGAAACAGUCAUUUAACGUACACAUUUUUGUUUGAAGAAAAGGCAGGUUCUAUGCUGGGAGUGAAGGAUUCGUGGAGAUACUGUGAUCGGACAUACGGGGGCAGCCUUACCUGCAGGUUAUCACAGCCUUGCACCGCGGGGCCACUGCAGCCGUUGUGCUUUGGCCCCCCAUGGCAAGCUCUGGAGCUUUGCCCCUUUCUAAACAAGGAACCCAUGCAGACUUACCAGAUUUCCUUAUUCAAAGGGUGAACACUGUCUCUUUAAAUAAACACAGAGAUCUCAGUCCAAAUGGGAACUGAAGCCCAGGCUACCCUCGGUUAUGAAACCUCCCUUUCAGAGCUCACAGGCUCGGGGCCUGCUGCUACACUUCGAGGUUAAUAAUCAGUUUUAAUAUUCACUUAGGGGGCUGUAAAAAAAGAAUGAAAAUUUCCUAAUUUGAAAAUGGACUUGAUUGGCAGCUUUAUUAUCUCUAUAAGGUGCAUGGCAUUCCACACAAUCAAGUCAUUUUUUAAAAUAAUCUCACUGCUUAAGUCGUACAUGCUGCUAAUUGCAUUUUAAUAAGUCUCUUUAAAAUCUUUCCAUAUUUUUUAAUAUCCUAAUAUUAGAUAAGUGAUUGCUGGGGACACUGGAGGGCACUGAGGUUUAUAGAAAGAGGAACACCAUAAUGAAGCUUUAUUGGGAUGGCAUCACCAAACAAUUGCUGUGAUAGCAACACUCCCAAGCUUGGAGAAAUGCCAGCCAUUCCCCGCCUAGAACUGACACAGGCACAAGCCUCCCUGGCUCAGGACUGACAGAAAAUGGAUGCUUUCUGGAUCAUAAAAUGGCCUCUUUCCAUCUUGGAAAUGGCUGAGGAGCUGUCCACUUUGGAUUGGGAAAGGAUUUUUCUCCAUUGAACAGUGACUUUGAAACAUUUUUGUUUUGCUUGCUUCUGGCUUGAAAAU